UACGUAGGUGGCAAGCGUUGUCCGGAUUUAUUGGGUUGAAAGGGUGCGUAGGUGGGUAGGUAAGUCAGAGGUGAAAUCUUCGAGCUUAACUCGGAAACUGCCAUUGAUACUAUUUAUCUUGAAUACUCUGGAGGUAAGCGGAAUAUGUCAUGUAGCGGUGAAAUGCUUAGAUAUGACAUAGAACACCAAUUGCGAAGGCAGCUUACUACAUAGUUAUUGACACUGAGGCACGAAAGCGUGGGGAUCAAACAGG
RNAcentral lists this ribosomal RNA (253 nucleotides) under uncultured bacterium. RNAcentral describes it as "partial 16S ribosomal RNA". It matches the Rfam family "Bacterial small subunit ribosomal RNA", at positions 524 to 776 of the family's 1533-position model. The record is from RNAcentral.